CCUACGGGGGGCUGCAGUGGGGAAUCUUCCGCAAUGGGCGCAAGCCUGACGGAGCAACGCCGCGUGAAUGAAGAAGGCCUUCGGGUCGUAAAGUUCUGUUGAAAGGGAAGAAGUCUGUGUGUGUGAAUAAUGCAUACAGGUGACGGUACCUUUUGAGGAAGCUCCGGCUAACUACGUGCCAGCAGCCGCGGUAAUACGUAGGGAGCGAGCGUUGUCCGGAAUUACUGGGCGUAAAGGGCGCGUAGGCGGGAUAUUAAGUCAGGUGUGAAAACGUAGGGCUUAACUUUACGAUUGCACAUGAAACUAAUAUUCUUGAGGACAGGAGAGGAAAGCGGAAUUCCUAGUGUAGCGGUGAAAUGCGUAGAUAUUAGGAGGAACACCAGUGGCGAAGGCGGCUUUCUGGACUGUAACUGACGCUGAGGCGCGAAAGCGUGGGUAGCGAACGGGCUUAGAUACCCCGGUAGUC
This 466-nucleotide ribosomal RNA is filed under the name uncultured Bacillota bacterium. Its description in RNAcentral is "bacterial SSU rRNA". It matches the Rfam family "Bacterial small subunit ribosomal RNA", at positions 338 to 795 of the family's 1533-position model. Lineage: Bacteria; Bacillati; Bacillota. The record is from RNAcentral.